UGACCGGAUUGAUUGCACACCGAUAGGCUAAUUUUUGUUCAUCUUCCACUGUCAAGAAAAGGGCAGAAACCGAUCCAUGCGUGUAAUCGGUAACACUCGCAUGUCAAC
Caenorhabditis elegans is the source of this 108-nucleotide non-coding RNA. Lineage: Eukaryota; Metazoa; Nematoda; Chromadorea; Rhabditida; Rhabditidae. The record is from Ensembl.